AAUAGAUACCCUGGUAGUCCAUGCCGUAAACGUUGGGAACUAGAUGUGGGGACCAUUCCACGGUCUCCGUGUCGCAGCUAACGCAUUAAGUUCCCCGCCUGGGGAGUACGGCCGCAAGGCUAAAACUCAAAGGAAUUGACGGGGGCCCGCACAAGCGGCGGAGCAUGCGGAUUAAUUCGAUGCAACGCGAAGAACCUUACCAAGGCUUGACAUAUACCGGAAAGGUCUGGAAACAGUCCCCCGCAAGGUCGGUAUACAGGUGGUGCAUGGUUGUCGUCAGCUCGUGUCGUGAGAUGUUGGGUUAAGUCCCGCAACGAGCGCAACCCUCGUCUUAUGUUGCCAGCGGUUCGGCCGGGGACUCAUAAGAGACUGCCGGGGUCAACUCGGAGGAAGGUGGGGAUGAGGUCAAAUCAUCAUGCCCCUUAUGUCUUGGGCUUCACGCAUGCUACAAUGGCCGGUACAAAGGGCUGCAAUACCGCGAGGUGGAGCGAAUCCCAAAAGCCGGUCUCAGUUCGGAUUGAGGUCUGCAACUCGACCCAUG
RNAcentral lists this ribosomal RNA (541 nucleotides) under uncultured bacterium. RNAcentral's name for it is "bacterial SSU rRNA". It matches the Rfam family "Bacterial small subunit ribosomal RNA", at positions 777 to 1322 of the family's 1533-position model. The record is from RNAcentral.